CCUAGGGGAGGCAGCAGUGGGGAAUAUUGGACAAUGGGCGAAAGCCUGAUCCAGCCAUGCCGCGUGUGUGAAGAAGGCCUUCGGGUUGUAAAGCACUUUCAGUGGGGAAGAAAGCCUUGGGGCUAAUACCCUCGAGGAAGGACAUCACCCACAGAAGAAGCACCGGCUAACUCCGUGCCAGCAGCCGCGGUAAUACGGAGGGUGCGAGCGUUAAUCGGAAUUACUGGGCGUAAAGCGCGCGUAGGCGGUCUGAUAAGCCGGUUGUGAAAGCCCCGGGCUCAACCUGGGAACGGCAUCCGGAACUGUCAGGCUAGAGUGCAGGAGAGGAAGGUAGAAUUCCCGGUGUAGCGGUGAAAUGCGUAGAGAUCGGGAGGAAUACCAGUGGCGAAGGCGGCCUUCUGGACUGACACUGACGCUGAGGUGCGAAAGCGUGGGUAGCAAACAGGAUUAGAUACCCGAGUAGUC
RNAcentral lists this ribosomal RNA (465 nucleotides) under Vreelandella stevensii. RNAcentral's name for it is "partial 16S ribosomal RNA". It matches the Rfam family "Bacterial small subunit ribosomal RNA", at positions 338 to 795 of the family's 1533-position model. The record is from RNAcentral. Lineage: Bacteria; Pseudomonadati; Pseudomonadota; Gammaproteobacteria; Oceanospirillales; Halomonadaceae.